UUACUCCCUCGUCCUACCUGCUGCCGUCAUCUCCUCCUCUUCCCCUCUCUCCCUCUCGUAGCGCCUCCACCUCGACUUCCUUCUCUUGGUCGUCCACGCAUCCAGCGAGGGGCAUGGUUCCAGAUCGGGCGUUGCCAUGGAGAGCAGGGGCGGCAGGACGGUUGGCUGAAGGAGCCGGGGAGGCCUGCGGUCGGGGGAAGGAGCAGCAAGGCCUGAGACGAGGAGAAGCCAGCGAUGGCGACAAGAAGCAGCAGUGGCAGCGCUCCAUGUCGGCGGCCCUCUCCAUCUUCCCUGCAGCUCCAUGACCGGUGGCAGGCGGGAGGAGUAUAGACCGACCCUGUUCGUCAUGGAGGCCCUUCUGACGCCGCGAGCCAGGGGACUCCGCCCUGCUCAACCCGAGGGCGCCGCCCCUUCCCCACCCAUGGCGGAGGAGGGUGGCGGCACAGACCAGUGGAGGGGAAUGGGAAGAUGUGAGAUGUGGCUCGGGGGAGCAAAGGGGAGGACGACGGCGAGAAAAUUGAUGAUCUAUGUGUGUUGAGAACUUCGCUGCAGGUCAAAGAGACAUGGAUCCUUGACAAACAGAGUUUGGUGGAUGUGCAGCCUUUUGUCAUUCUGGUGUAUUUUCAUUGCAAAUAACAAGAAGGCAAUCUCAACUUGUUCAUUGAUCUCUUCCAGACCAUGGUUCAUACAUCUAUGAUUGCAACUGCCAAUUAAAACAAUAUGACGUACAAUAAUACAGGUUGCACAUCUGAUACUGAAGUUUCAUGGUUCCAGACAGAGGUAUGCAACAUAAACACUUGAGCAGUCCUUUUUGUUUCUCAAAUUUUCAUCCAUUAUUUGUUAUCUGAUACUGAAGUUUCAUGGUUCCAGGGGAUGCCAAAUUUCUAUAGUUACUUAUUUUCUCAAUCCAAAAGACAUACCUUCAGUAUAUUGUACUCCCUCCGUCCCAAAAUAAGUGUCUCAACAUUAGUACAAGUUAGUACAAAGUUGAGCCACUGAUUUUGGGACAUGGGGAGUAUAUAUAACUAAUUGUCUAGAACUAUUUUUGCUUUUUGUAAAGAAGCAGUGCAUACCAUGUCAUAAUUGAGAUGAUGGUUUCAUAUUGGAAAUAUAUGGUGCAUUCAUACAAGAGCCCAUGCUGGGCAGACUUAUUUCUCCGUGGCAUGGGUUUAAAUGUAGUAACUUGUGUUUAUGCUUUACUUUCCGGUGCUUAGCAGUGCCCUUGUCAAGUAUAUAGGGACGGAAAAUGCUAUUCAUCAUGACAAUCUUAGGCGAUGUUCAGCAAAAAUUGAGGCACUAUACCGACUAAAUGUUCAGGCUUUCUCCAAACAGCGGAGAUUCAAGGUGAUUAAUAGUCAAAUAGAACUUCUCUCCAUUCGUGUCUAAAGAGAAGGUAUAAGUGAUGGUCGGCCUGGUGAUGAGGGCAUCAAGACAAAGUGAUUAAUUCGCAACUCUGUUCUUGAUUGGUUUUUACAAAUACACAAGGUACUACCGUUUCCUUCUAUGUUUAAAUGGCUUUGUGAGCACAACUAUUUGGAAAUUCUGCGAUUCAUGGUGGAAGCAAGCAUCUUUGUUUUCCCGGCCGAAAAUACUUAGUUUCAUAGAUUUUCUGAGUCGACCAUUUCUUAGAUUUUCUGAGUUAAGAGCUGAAUUGAGCAUUUCUUAGAUUUCCUGAGUUCAGAGCUUUUAUUAUCUCUUCGGUAAUCUGUAGAAGUUUACUUUUCCUGUGGUGUCCAUUCAUUUCGAAAGCUAUUUGCAUGCACACUGGCAUGUCAUUGUUUGUGUGCCCCCUUACUGCUUCUUACUCCAUUUAUAAGUGGUGAAAAAUAUUUUCCCCAGUUGAAUUUUAUGUAUGAAGCCUCUUGUUGAAAGGCCUUCUUCUAUUGCAUACUGACGUUUGCAUUGCAUGAUAAAGCUAUAUCAACACUGCUCUUUGUUUUGUUGUUCACUUUUGUAUUUCCCUUUGGAAAUGACAAAAGUGGGGUUUUCUUUUGUAGCUUGCUGGAUUUCUUAGUUAGGGGAAGUUGUUUAAUAAAUGAUAUUGCCAGUAUUUUGCCUACAUGGCUAAAGAAGAAACCAAACCAAGGAAAAUCUGGAUUUUUUUUAUAGUAUCCCACAUAAUGCAAAACAAUCGAUCAAGAUUUUACACAUAACUUGAUUCAUUCGUGUUUUGUUUAUUUGUGUUCUGGUACUAGCACAGUUGGUGACUUAAGCUUCAUCAAUAUCAGAUGUUCUUUUUUUCUUGCUUGCACAGUUGGUGACUUGAGCUUCAUCAAUAUCAGUUGUUUUUUUCAUUCGUAAACAGAGUAGCAUCACACGAGUUCCAAGUUUUAUGGCAGGUUAUUGUAAUGUAUCUUCAGAGAUGUACAUUAGAGAAAUUGUCAGCCAACAAUUGAAUUAGGUAUACAUGAAGCUAUAUAUAUAUUUACUAAUCAAUCAUUUCCCUUA
Molecule: long non-coding RNA, 2448 nt
Organism: Triticum dicoccoides
Lineage: Eukaryota; Viridiplantae; Streptophyta; Magnoliopsida; Poales; Poaceae
Exons: 3
Source: RefSeq, a predicted model, not a curated record